Molecule: ribosomal RNA, 253 nt
Filed under: uncultured bacterium
Lineage: Bacteria
Description: partial 16S ribosomal RNA
Rfam family: Bacterial small subunit ribosomal RNA
Source: RNAcentral
GACAGAGGUGCCGAGCGUUAGGCGGAAUCACUGGGCUUAAAGCGUGUGUAGGCGGGCCGUUAAGUACCUUGUGAAAUCCCCCGGCUCAACCGGGGAACGGCUGGGUAUACUGGCGGUCUUGGGCCACCUAGGGGCGGACGGAACAAGCGGUGGAGCGGUGAAAUGCGUAGAUAUCGCUUGGAACGCCGACGGCGAAAGCAGUCCGCUGGGGGUGUGCCGACGCUGAGACACGAAAGCCAGGGGAGCGAACGGG